UACGGGAGGCAGCAGUGGGGAAUAUUGCACAAUGGGCGCAAGCCUGAUGCAGCCAUGCCGCGUGUAUGAAGAAGGCCUUCGGGUUGUAAAGUACUUUCAGUCGUGAGGAAGGUGUUAAGGUUAAUAACCUUAGCAAUUGACGUUAGCGACAGAAGAAGCACCGGCUAACUCCGUGCCAGCAGCCGCGGUAAUACGGAGGGUGCGAGCGUUAAUCGGAAUUACUGGGCGUAAAGGGCACGCAGGCGGUUAAUUAAGUUGGAUGUGAAAUCCCCGGGCUUAACCUGGGAAUGGCAUUCAAGACUGGUUAGCUAGAGUCUUGUAGAGGGGGUAGAAUUCCGAUGUGUAGCGGUGAAAUGCGUAGAGAUGUGGAGGAAUACCGGGUGGCGAAGGCGGCCCCUGGGACAAAGGACUGACGCUCAUGUGCGAAAGCGUGGGGAGCGAAACAGGGAUUAGAUACC
Molecule: ribosomal RNA, 458 nt
Filed under: uncultured bacterium
Lineage: Bacteria
Description: bacterial SSU rRNA
Rfam family: Bacterial small subunit ribosomal RNA
Source: RNAcentral